UGGCGAACGGGUGAGUAACACGUGAGCAACCUGCCCUUGACACUGGAAUAACAGUUGGAAACAGCUGCUAAUACCGGGUAUGACCUGUCACCGCAUGGUGGUGGGUGGAAAGCCCUGGCGGUCAAGGAUGGGCUCGCGGCCUAUCAGCUAGUUGGUGAGGUAAUGGCUCACCAAGGCUUCGACGGGUAGCCGGCCUGAGAGGGCGACCGGCCACACUGGGACUGAGAUACGGCCCAGACUCCUACGGGAGGCAGCAGUGGGGAAUAUUGCACAAUGGGCGAAAGCCUGAUGCAGCAACGCCGCGUGCGGGAUGACGGCCUUCGGGUUGUAAACCGCUUUCAGUAGGGACGAAGCUAACGUGACGGUACCUACAGAAGAAGCACCGGCCAACUACGUGCCAGCAGCCGCGGUGAUACGUAGGGUGCGAGCGUUGUCCGGAAUUAUUGGGCGUAAAGGGAUUGUAGGCGGUCCGUCGCGUCGAAAGUGAAAACUCAGGGCUCAACCCUGAGCCUGCUUUCGAUAC
This 523-nucleotide ribosomal RNA is filed under the name uncultured Propionibacteriaceae bacterium. RNAcentral describes it as "bacterial SSU rRNA". It matches the Rfam family "Bacterial small subunit ribosomal RNA", at positions 96 to 633 of the family's 1533-position model. Lineage: Bacteria; Bacillati; Actinomycetota; Actinomycetes; Propionibacteriales; Propionibacteriaceae. The record is from RNAcentral.